UNUGGGCUGUAACUGACGCUGAGAAGCGAAAGCAUGGGGAGCGAACAGGAUUAGAUACCCUGGUAGUCCAUGCCGUAAACAUUGGGCACUAGGUGUGGGGGACAUUCCACGUUUUCCGCGCCGUAGCUAACGCAUUAAGUGCCCCGCCUGGGGAGUACGGCCGCAAGGCUAAAACUCAAAGAAAUUGACGGGGGCCCGCACAAGCGGCGGAGCAUGCGGAUUAAUUCGAUGCAACGCGAAGAACCUUACCAAGGCUUGACAUAUACUGGACUGCGUCAGAGAUGGCGUUUCCCUUCGGGGCUGGUAUACAGGUGGUGCAUGGUUGUCGUCAGCUCGUGUCGUGAGAUGUUGGGUUAAGUCCCGCAACGAGCGCAACCCUCGUUCUAUGUUGCCAGCACGUGAUGGUGGGGACUCAUAGGAGACUGCCGGGGUCAACUCGGAGGAAGGUGGGGAUGACGUCAAAUCAUCAUGCCCCUUAUGUCUUGGGCUUCACGCAUGCUACAAUGGCCGGUACAGAGGGUUGCGAUACUGUGAGGUGGAGCUAAUCCCUAAAAGCCGGUCUCAGUUCGGAUUGGGGUCUGCAACUCGACCCCAUGAAGUCGGAGUCGCUAGUAAUCGCAGAUCAGCAACGCUGCGGUGAAUACGUUCCCGGGCCUUGUACACACCGCCCGUCAAGUCACGAAAGUUGGUAACACCCGAAGCCG
Molecule: ribosomal RNA, 704 nt
Filed under: uncultured bacterium
Lineage: Bacteria
Description: bacterial SSU rRNA
Rfam family: Bacterial small subunit ribosomal RNA
Source: RNAcentral